AGAGUUUGAUCCUGGCUCAGAACGAACGCUGGCGGCAGGCCUAACACAUGCAAGUCGAAGGAGAAGCUCCUUUCGGGGAGUGGACACUGGCGCACGGGUGAGUAACGCGUGGGAAUCUACCCCGGGGUGGGGAAUAACCGCUGGAAACGGCGGCUAAUACCGCAUACGCCUUAAUAGGGAAAGCUUUAGCGCCCUGGGAUGAGCCCGCGUUAGAUUAGGUUGUUGGUGGGGUAACGGCCUACCAAGCCUACGAUCUAUAGCUGGUCUGAGAGGAUGAUCAGCCACACUGGGACUGAGACACGGCCCAGACUCCUACGGGAGGCAGCAGUGGGGAAUUUUCCGCAAUGGGCGAAAGCCUGACGGAGCAACGCCGCGUGCGGGAGGACGGCCUGUGGGUUGUAAACCGCUUUUCUCAGGGAAGAAGAUCUGACGGUACCUGAGGAAUCAGCAUCGGCUAACUCCGUGCCAGCAGCCGCGGUAAUACGGAGGAUGCAAGCGUUAUCCGGAAUUAUUGGGCGUAAAGCGUCCGCAGGCGGCUUAUCAAGUCUGCUGUUAAAGGCUGGGGCUCAACUCCGGUUAGGCAGUGGAAACUGAAAGGCUAGAGUACGGUAGGGGCAGAGGGAAUUCCCAGUGUAGCGGUGAAAUGCGUAGAUAUUGGGAAGAACACCAGUGGCGAAGGCGCUCUGCUGGGCCGUAACUGACGCUGAGGGACGAAAGCUAGGGGAGCGAAAGGGAUUAGAUACCCCUGUAGUCCUAGCCGUAAACGAUGGAUACUAGGUGUUGGCCGUAUCGACCCGGUCAGUACCGUAGCUAACGCGUUAAGUAUCCCGCCUGGGGAGUACGCACGCAAGUGUGAAACUCAAAGGAAUUGACGGGGGCCCGCACAAGCGGUGGAGUAUGUGGUUUAAUUCGAUGCAACGCGAAGAACCUUACCAGGGCUUGACAUCCCGCGAAUCCUUGUGAAAGCAGGGAGUGCCUUCGGGAGCGCGGAGACAGGUGGUGCAUGGCUGUCGUCAGCUCGUGUCGUGAGAUGUUGGGUUAAGUCCCGUAACGAGCGCAACCCUUGUCCUUUGUUGCCAGCGAAUAAUGUCGGGAACUCAAAGGAGACUGCCGGUGACAAACCGGAGGAAGGUGGGGAUGACGUCAAGUCAUCAUGCCCCUUACGUCUUGGGCUACACACGUCCUACAAUGCUACAGACAGAGGGCAGCAAGCGCGCGAGUGCAAGCAAAUCCCAUAAACUGUGGCUCAGUUCAGAUUGCAGGCUGCAACUCGCCUGCAUGAAGGCGGAAUCGCUAGUAAUCGCAGGUCAGCAUACUGCGGUGAAUACGUUCCCGGGCCUUGUACACACCGCCCGUCACACCAUGGGAGUUGGCCACGCCCGAAGUCGUUACUCUAACCGUUCGCGGAGGAGGGCGCCGAAGGCAGGGCUGAUGACUGGGGUGAAGUCGUAACAAGGUAACCGUA
This 1465-nucleotide ribosomal RNA is filed under the name uncultured bacterium. RNAcentral's name for it is "16S ribosomal RNA". It matches the Rfam family "Bacterial small subunit ribosomal RNA". The record is from RNAcentral.